Ochlerotatus camptorhynchus is the source of this 934-nucleotide long non-coding RNA. RefSeq lists it as uncharacterized. The transcript has 2 exons. The record is from RefSeq and is a predicted model, not a curated record. NCBI's taxonomy places the organism in Eukaryota, Metazoa, Arthropoda, Insecta, Diptera, Culicidae.
GCCACUGACUGCUCUUGCUCAUAUCGUUUUUAUUGUUUUCGUCCGCCGCGCGGUAUACAUACAACGACGCCGACGACGACGAACGGGGCAAAUUUGCAAUUCUGGUCUACCUUGCUCAAAGUCAACUCCCGUCAGCCAGCCAGCAGCGGAACAGUCAGUCCAUUUCCAGCCGGUUCGCUAAACGGUUGCACUUCGGUCGGUGUUCCAUCUCCGGAUCUAGUCUUUUGGGAGUUUUGGGCUUUGUGGGGACGAUCUCGCGUAUGGUAUUAAGGCCUCGGCGCAACAGAGAGAGAGAGAGAGCGAGAGUGAGAGCGAGUGUGAUGCAUUUGUGAUUGUGGUGCGCAUUGUGAUGCAUGAAGAUUGAAGAGGAGAAGAAAGGAUUCCUACUGUUAACUGCUACUGCUUGGAUGUACGAGAGGUGGAUAAGUUUCGCGAAUCGCGUGAGCCAGAAGAUUUGAAGGAGGUGGUGUUCAACACAAUCGAAACGAGAUGAAUGAAGAUAACAUGGAAAAUUGAAAUUUUUGCUGACUAGUUUCACUAUCACUGAAAAAGUGCGCGCGGUACAUUGGUGAACAAGAAGAAGUAGGAGUAAGAAGAAGAAGAAAAAACAUCGCACAGAAGCGAGGGAAAAUAGUGCAGUUUUUAUUGGAUUGCUCGCUCGUUUGGUGUGUUAUCGUUUGUUGGUGCCAUUUAGGUUCGUGAUGUGUGCGAAAUUUUCGCUUUCAUCUGCAUCAGGCGUGGUUGAGCAAUAAUUUGUGAUAAACAGUAUUACCAGGUCGUCGUAUUCCACGGCAAAGCAUGGCAAUGUGUACAAACAAUCAAAAAAGCAGUGAAAUUCCACGAUUUCUGGCGAUCAAGUCGCGUCAUCGCAAAUGAAUGAAGUGAGUGAAUGUGCUAAUUGUGAGCAGCGACAACGACGCAUGUCGUACAAAAA